Molecule: long non-coding RNA, 347 nt
Organism: Abrus precatorius (Indian licorice)
Lineage: Eukaryota; Viridiplantae; Streptophyta; Magnoliopsida; Fabales; Fabaceae
Exons: 3
Source: RefSeq, a predicted model, not a curated record
AGUGGCAACACAGUGAACUCAGCUAGGGUUUCCAUCAGUUUUCGCUACUUCGUCGUCGUUUUGUUGUUGUUGUUGAAGAAUGGAUCAAGAUAAAAAAGCGUGUGAGGAAUCUUCAAAAAAUGCUCUGGGUUUGAAGUGUGAGAAGAUUCUGGAAGCAGUUGAUAAUCCAAUUGCAUGCCCCACUCCACAGAAGAACACUGAACCCUUACUCAUCAAAUCGAAAGAGGGACAAACCCAGCUUCCACAAAAAUACUGGACACUUGCAGAUUUGUUUAGUCAUAUGAGUUGUUCACUCAGAUUGCUGCAUCUGCGAAAAAAGACUCCAACUUUUCGAAAUAUUUGCCGCC